CUUACUUGGCCUUAUGGUGGCUCUCAGUCUUCUUAGGCAGCAGCACGGCCUGGAUAUUGGGCAAGACACCACCCUGCGCGAUGGUGACUUUGCCCAGCAGCUUGUUGAGCUCUUCAUCGUUGCGGAUAGCCAGCUGGAGAUG
Chlorocebus sabaeus (green monkey) is the source of this 142-nucleotide microRNA precursor. Lineage: Eukaryota; Metazoa; Chordata; Mammalia; Primates; Cercopithecidae. The record is from Ensembl.